CCUACGGGUGACUGCAGUAGGGGAUAUUGCUCAAUGGGGGGAACCCUGAAGCAGCGACGCCGCGUGGAGGAAGAAGGGUCUCGGAGUGUAAACCCCUUUUGGUAGAGAAGAUAAUGACGGUAUCUGACGAAUAAGCACCGGCUAACUCCGUGCCAGCAGCCGCGGUAAUACGGAGGGGGCAAGCGUUACCCGGAAUCACUGGGCGUAAAGAGCGCGCAGGCGGGAUAGCAAGUCAGAAGUGAAAUCCCGGGGCUCAACCCUAGAACUGCAUUUGAAACUGGUUGGCUAGAGUAUGGGAGAGGUAGGUGGAAUUCUUGGUGUAGGGGUAAAAUCCGUAGAGAUCAAGAGGAAUACUCAUUGCGAAGGCGACCUGCUAGAACAUAACUGACGUUGAUGCGCGAAAGCGUGGGGAGCAAACAGGAUUAGAUACCCGGGUAGUC
This 440-nucleotide ribosomal RNA is filed under the name uncultured bacterium. RNAcentral describes it as "partial 16S ribosomal RNA". It matches the Rfam family "Bacterial small subunit ribosomal RNA", at positions 338 to 795 of the family's 1533-position model. The record is from RNAcentral.